RNAcentral lists this ribosomal RNA (492 nucleotides) under uncultured bacterium. RNAcentral's name for it is "partial 16S ribosomal RNA". It matches the Rfam family "Bacterial small subunit ribosomal RNA", at positions 29 to 507 of the family's 1533-position model. The record is from RNAcentral.
AGUGAACGCUGGCGGUAGGCCUAACACAUGCAAGUCGAACGGCAGCACAGUAAGAGCUUGCUCUUACGGGUGGCGAGUGGCGGACGGGUGAGGAAUACAUCGGAAUCUACUUUUUCGUGGGGGAUAACGUAGGGAAACUUACGCUAAUACCGCAUACGACCUACGGGUGAAAGCAGGGGAUCUUCGGACCUUGCGCGAUUGAAUGAGCCGAUGUCGGAUUAGCUAGUUGGCGGGGUAAAGGCCCACCAAGGCGACGAUCCGUAGCUGGUCUGAGAGGAUGAUCAGCCACACUGGAACUGAGACACGGUCCAGACUCCUACGGGAGGCAGCAGUGGGGAAUAUUAGACAAUGGGCGCAAGCCUGAUCCAGCCAUACCGCGUGGGUGAAGAAGGCCUUCGGGUUGUAAAGCCCUUUUGUUGGGAAAGAAAAGCAGCAGGUUGAUACCCCGCUGUUCUGACGGUACCCAAAGAAUAAGCACCGGCUAACUUCGUG